UGGACAGAAAGACCCUAUGAAGCUUUACUGUAACCUGAAAUUGAAAUUGGACUUUAGUCGCGCAGCAUAGGUGGGAAGCUUUGAUGAUACUCUUGCGGGAGUAUCGGAGCUAUCAGUGAGAUACCACUCUUCUAAUGUUAGAUUUCUAACUUUGAAUCAUUAUCUGGUCAAAGAACAGUUUCAGGCGGGCAGUUUGACUGGGGCGGUCGCCUCCCAAAUGGUAACGGAGGCGUACAAAGGUUUCCUCUGAACGGGUAGAAAUCGUAUCUAGAGUGUAAAGGCAUAAGGAAGCUUGACUGUGAGACCUACAAGUCGAACAGGGACGAAAGUCGGUCUUAGUGAUCUGACGGUACUGAGUGGAAAGGCCGUCACUCAACGGAUAAAAGUUACUCUAGGGAUAACAGGCU
This 407-nucleotide ribosomal RNA is filed under the name uncultured eukaryote. Its description in RNAcentral is "bacterial LSU rRNA". It matches the Rfam family "Bacterial large subunit ribosomal RNA", at positions 2077 to 2483 of the family's 2925-position model. The record is from RNAcentral.